RNAcentral lists this ribosomal RNA (465 nucleotides) under uncultured Klebsiella sp. RNAcentral describes it as "bacterial SSU rRNA". It matches the Rfam family "Bacterial small subunit ribosomal RNA", at positions 338 to 795 of the family's 1533-position model. Lineage: Bacteria; Pseudomonadati; Pseudomonadota; Gammaproteobacteria; Enterobacterales; Enterobacteriaceae. The record is from RNAcentral.
CCUACGGGAGGCUGCAGUGGGGAAUAUUGCACAAUGGGCGCAAGCCUGAUGCAGCCAUGCCGCGUGUGUGAAGAAGGCCUUCGGGUUGUAAAGCACUCUCAGCGGGGAGGAAGGCGGUGAGGUUAAUAACCUCAUCGAUUGACGUUACCCGCAGAAGAAGCACCGGCUAACUCCGUGCCAGCAGCCGCGGUAAUACGGAGGGUGCAAGCGUUAAUCGGAAUUACUGGGCGUAAAGCGCACGCAGGCGGUCUGUCAAGUCGGAUGUGAAAUCCCCGGGCUCAACCUGGGAACUGCAUUCGAAACUGGCAGGCCAGAGUCUUGUAGAGGGGGGUAGAAUUCCAGGUGUAGCGGUGAAAUGCGUAGAGAUCUGGAGGAAUACCGGUGGCGAAGGCGGCCCCCUGGACAAAGACUGACGCUCAGGUGCGAAAGCGUGGGGAGCAAACAGGAUUAGAUACCCUAGUAGUC